RNAcentral lists this transfer RNA (67 nucleotides) under Marmota monax (woodchuck). Its description in RNAcentral is "tRNA.Ala". It matches the Rfam family "tRNA". From Rfam's summary of the family: Transfer RNA (tRNA) molecules are approximately 80 nucleotides in length. Their secondary structure includes four short double-helical elements and three loops (D, anti-codon, and T loops). The record is from RNAcentral. Lineage: Eukaryota; Metazoa; Chordata; Mammalia; Rodentia; Sciuridae.
GGUUGUGGCUCAGUGGUAGAGCACUCACCUGGCAUAUGUGAGGCCCUGGAUUCAAUCCUCAGCACCA